This is a long non-coding RNA of Clupea harengus (Atlantic herring), 970 nucleotides long. RefSeq lists it as uncharacterized. NCBI's taxonomy places the organism in Eukaryota, Metazoa, Chordata, Actinopteri, Clupeiformes, Clupeidae. The record is from RefSeq and is a predicted model, not a curated record.
CUCCCCUGACCGCACGUCCCUUGUUCAUGGGCUUGUUUAUCUCCACCUGAUAACAAAUGCCUUUUCAUUUUGUCACACAGAUUGUAUAAAUUACCCAUUAACCUUCAUUUCAUGACCUUUAGACGUAGGUGUGCUUGUAAGUGACUUUGCUCAUCCGGACCAAAAAGCAAAAGCAGUAUGUUGUAUGUUAAUGGUCACUGAAGAUUCAGAGAUAGUGGUUUAGCUUAGUUACAAAGCUAACUAGAUUAGAUAGGCGUUGAAGAGUCUGAAGUAGGAGAAUGUCUCCAGGGCAGAGUCUCAAAUACAAGGGAGUCCUCUGUUUUUAAAUUCCUUUUUCAUGUUACUGGAAUAGAAUACUGUACUUUCGAAGUGUAUACCUACCUUCACACCAAAAACCGAAAAUAAAAAUGUAAGCGGAACUAAACAAAAGUUCACAAGACUUUUGCCGCUGGUCAUUUGUGUGUAGACUAAUAGUUAUCGAUGUGUUUAGGCAAGAUUCUCCAAGCCCUUCAAAUCCCUGAUUUUCAUUAAUUUGAGAGUAAACACGUCAUGCCGUAAAUUUCGCAUUCACAUAAAUUGCGGCGCGUGGGAGAGGAGGCUUAAAAUGAAACCAAAAACCUAAUUCGCUAACCCGAAGCCUGAAAUUCAGUUUCAUUCUUCGUAUUAUUGGUGCCUGCUUGAGGAAGAAGUGACAAGGUUCUGUAAGGUUUUGCCCAACAGAAUAUAGAAUGGUGAAAGUAUUUUUGGUCCUUGCUGGAAACACUCAGAACACCCAGGCAAAGUUUUGGCAGCGCCUGGUCAGAAGAAGUACCAAUGCGGUGAAAGUGGCCAACGUUAGAGACUGUGAUGUGACCCUCACAUUCUGUCCAAUCGUCUCACGAGUUGGAACUGAUGUAGAGGCAGCCGUCCAGCUGAUCCCCACAACUAGACCUGGAGUCCUGGUAUUACUGCACCCGACCUUUAACCCAGA